RNAcentral lists this ribosomal RNA (497 nucleotides) under uncultured bacterium. Its description in RNAcentral is "partial 16S ribosomal RNA". It matches the Rfam family "Bacterial small subunit ribosomal RNA", at positions 28 to 507 of the family's 1533-position model. The record is from RNAcentral.
GAUGAACGCUGGCGGCGUGCCUAAUACAUGCAAGUCGAGCGAACGGACGAGAAGCUUGCUUCUCUGAUGUUAGCGGCGGACGGGUGAGUAACACGUGGAUAACCUGCCUAUAAGACUGGGAUAAUUUCGGGAAACCGGAGCUAAUACCGGAUAAUAUUUUGAACCGCAUGGUUCAAAAGUGAAAGACGGUCUUGCUGUCACUUAUAGAUGGAUCCGCGCUGCAUUAGCUAGUUGGUAAGGUAACGGCUUACCAAGGCAACGAUGCAUAGCCGACCUGAGAGGGUGAUCGGCCACACUGGAACUGAGACACGGUCCAGACUCCUACGGGAGGCAGCAGUAGGGAAUCUUCCGCAAUGGGCGAAAGCCUGACGGAGCAACGCCGCGUGAGUGAUGAAGGUCUUCGGAUCGUAAAACUCUGUUAUUAGGGAAGAACAUAUGCGUAAGUAACUGUGCACAUCUUGACGGUACCUAAUCAGAAAGCCACGGCUAACUACGUG